AUGGCACAAGGAACGGGAAAAAUGUCUGAAUGCCCAAAAACAGGAUUAUAUCAUCACAGUGAGGUUUCCAGUGUCUCUUGGUUCAAUAUCUGCCUGCAGGAGACAUUAUUACCAGGAAAGCCGUGGUAUAAGGUCUUAGAGAAACUGGAACCAGCCUUAGCGGAGAAAGUGAAGCAACAGAUAAGGGAUUCUAAGCAAAAAGAAACUGCCUUCCGUCUCCUUGGCCAGAACUUUGUUAAAAGAUACUUCCGCGAUUCUCCUCUGCAGCCUCAUUUGCUUGGACCCUUCACCCAGUCUUCCCCGGAGGUGAGUGAGAUUAGCAAUGAGAAUGUAGAAGUCACAAGAGGUUGGCUACAGACUCAAUGUCUCGAAGCAGCAGCAAGCAUUCACUACACCUACCAGCCUGGAGAUGAUACUGACGUAGCUGAACUCGCUCCUGAAAUGGUCCGUUUCCUUGACGAUAUCUAUGAGACUGUAACAGCCGAGAUGGAGGUACUGCUGGCCACCUGUGAAGCCCAGCGCCAGGAACAAGAUACACAGGCCAGUGAAAUGGCCCAGCUGUCCCCGAGAGAGGACCUGAAGCAAAUUCCAUUCACGUCACAGAGGCCCAAAUCCAUCGAGAGCAGAGACAUCCGCUUCGCUUUGUCCAGCCGACCGUCUUCCCUGGGCAGUGGAAAUGAAAAAGGCUUCCNGUUUCAUAUCAGACCUGAGUUGCUCCCGCCCGUCCUCAGCUGCCCGGAGAGCGACUUGCUGGGAGAGGCCCUCUGUGCCAUCGCCUCGCAGAGUUCUGAGACGAUGUCGACGGUGUGUGAAAGGCUGGGCAGCAAGCUGCUCCCAAAGACCCUUCGNCCAUUUAUCUGGCUCCAUAAACUCUUGAGGGUGGGCUCUGAAGACCCCAGGAAUAACUCCCUCAGGUCUGCCGAACGGAAAGCCAGGGAGGAGUUUGGGAGAACCGUAGCGNGCCGGGUGGCUGAACUUAAGCUCCGCAGUGCCNCUCGGUCGCCCCUUUCAGGCCUGAUUGAAAAGGCGGUGGUGCAGGAGAACACCCCUAUGAGCUAG
Molecule: long non-coding RNA, 1059 nt
Filed under: Salvator merianae (Argentine black and white tegu)
Lineage: Eukaryota; Metazoa; Chordata; Lepidosauria; Squamata; Teiidae
Description: lncRNA (ENSSMRG00000015001.1)
Source: RNAcentral